CGGCGGGUUGAGCUUCACUCGGCGAGAUCCGGUUCGCGACACGAUUAGGGCUCGAUUUAGUAGAUUGAAAACGAGGAGGAUAUCGCGGAGAAGGGUCACGGCCUUGUAGGGGGGCCAGUUAGCGUAGUUGGCAAAAGAUCUUGGGAAAAUCGGAUCGUGUUUCCUGCUUGCGUUCGUCUCGGGUGCGUGCGCUGAGGAAGAAGGAAAGGUAGGAGAGGGAGACUGACUUGCGGGGCCGGAGUGUCAGCGAAAAGGAGAAAGGAGCGCGCGGCUGGCGGGCUCGGCUGCGGGGAAGCGCUGGGCCGCGCCGUGGGCCGUUGCUCGCGAAGCGGGAGGGGGAGAAGGAGCAGGCCGGGGGUGAGGGGAGCUGGGCCGGGGAAAGGGAUUGGGCCCAGGGGGUUGGCUGGGGUUUUCUUUUCUUUUUUUUUCAAAGUAUUUUCACAAGUGAAUUUGAAUCAUUUUAAAAUAAUUAGACCACAACACAUAGCACAAAAAUAAUUAUGCUCCGGCAUGAAUGCACAAUCAAGGUUAUUAAACCUAUGAUGAAUUUUAUUUUCCACCAAAAAUUAUUUAAGUACUAAAUUUAAAUGCACACAAAAAUACUUAAUAAAAUCAAAUUAAUCCCUAAUAAUUCAAAAGAAAUUUUUUGGGUGUUACAAACUCUACCCCCCUUAAAAGAAUCUCGUCCUCGAGAUUGAGGAGAACUUACUCAAACAAAUAUGAAUAUGAUUUUCUCAGAUCAUCCUCUCUUUCCCAAGUUGCGUCUGCUUCUGAAUAUCGAUUCCACUGCACCUUGCACAUUCUAAUAACCCGACUUCUAGUGACUCUCUCAGCUGUCUCCAAAAUUCUGACCGGAUACUCUUCAUAAGUGAGAUCACCUUUAACAGAUAGCU
Molecule: long non-coding RNA, 893 nt
Filed under: Sorghum bicolor (sorghum)
Lineage: Eukaryota; Viridiplantae; Streptophyta; Magnoliopsida; Poales; Poaceae
Description: long non-coding RNA (SBIC_LNC003154)
Source: RNAcentral